AGUAGGAUCUGGAACGUAGGGGAACAUUUAAACUGGGUAUAAGUCAAACAUUAUCUAAACAUGAAUGUUCGGGCUUCAGCUGUGUAGUUCGUCUCUCAACAGAGUCAGGUUUCCAGUUGUAAAGUCAGGCUGUCAGGAGAUGUGGAUGGGCCUGCCUGCCUGAGAACCCGGGUGUCUGUGCUGCAUCGCUGGCCGGUAAGCUGUGCAGUGACCACCAGGAACCUUGGGGAUCGCCAGUGGUACUCCAGUUCCGCUGCUCUCAAGAGGUUGGUGACAGGGUUCAGCGAUCUUCUCCAUUGUAG
Molecule: non-coding RNA, 302 nt
Organism: Pelobates cultripes (western spadefoot toad)
Lineage: Eukaryota; Metazoa; Chordata; Amphibia; Anura; Pelobatidae
Source: the annotation of a GenBank genome assembly